UUUCCGUAGGUGAACCUGCGGAAGGAUCAUUACUGAAUAAGGGCCGCUCGGGGUCCAACCUCCCACCCGUGGUUAGCGAACCUUGUUGCGUCGGCGGGCACACCUCUCGGACGCCGAGGUGCAUUACCGCCCGGGCCCCCCCCUGCCGCAUCCGCCGGUGGGCGCAGUCUGAAAUACGCAGUCUGAAAGAAUUAUAGAAUUAAUUAAAACUUUCAACAACCGAGCUCUUGGUUCAGCCAUCGAUAAAGAACGCAGCGGAUCGGAAAAGGACACGGCUGG
Molecule: unclassified non-coding RNA, 279 nt
Filed under: plant metagenome
Description: partial contains small subunit ribosomal RNA, internal transcribed spacer 1, and 5.8S ribosomal RNA
Source: RNAcentral